RNAcentral lists this long non-coding RNA (277 nucleotides) under Ictidomys tridecemlineatus (thirteen-lined ground squirrel). RNAcentral describes it as "lncRNA (ENSSTOG00000029594.1)". Lineage: Eukaryota; Metazoa; Chordata; Mammalia; Rodentia; Sciuridae. The record is from RNAcentral.
CUUAUCCUGAAUAGUGAUUCCACUCAACCACAGGCAGAAAUUGAGAGUCCUGAACAUCUGCUUCCCUGUUGUCCUGUGCACAGAUCCCCAGGUCAGAAAACCUCCAUCCAGGCUGAGCCCAGGCAUCCAGGACAUUACCAGGGGGCUCUGUCCUGAAGGGGAGGCUGUUCAGGGUCGACCAACCACAGAAGCCCUCAGAGGAGGGCCAGGAGAGUUCUGUGCUGGCUGGAAACCAUUUCCACCUGCAGAUCUACAGCAAGGUAAAGGGGUCCCUCCA